RNAcentral lists this ribosomal RNA (401 nucleotides) under uncultured bacterium. RNAcentral's name for it is "bacterial SSU rRNA". It matches the Rfam family "Bacterial small subunit ribosomal RNA", at positions 356 to 773 of the family's 1533-position model. The record is from RNAcentral.
GGGGAAUCUUGCGCAAUGGGCGAAAGCCUGACGCAGCAACGCCGCGUGGGGGACGAAGGCUCUCGGGUUGUAAACCCCUUUCAGCAGGGACGAAAAUGACGGUACCUGCAGAAGAAGCCCCGGCCAACUACGUGCCAGCAGCCGCGGUAACACGUAGGGGGCGAGCGUUAUCCGGAUUUAUUGGGCGUAAAGAGCUCGUAGGCGGCUCGGUAAGUCGGGUGUGAAAUUUCAGGGCUCAACCCUGAAAAGCCACCCGAUACUGCUGUGGCUAGAGUCCGGUAGGGGAGUGGGGAAUUCCUGGUGUAGCGGUGAAAUGCGCAGAUAUCAGGAGGAACACCAGCGGCGAAGGCGCCACUCUGGGCCGGUACUGACGCUGAGGAGCGAAAGCGUGGGGAGCGAAC